Molecule: ribosomal RNA, 497 nt
Filed under: uncultured bacterium
Lineage: Bacteria
Description: partial 16S ribosomal RNA
Rfam family: Bacterial small subunit ribosomal RNA
Source: RNAcentral
GAUGGACGCUGGCGGCGUGCCUAAUACAUGCAAGUCGAGCGAACAGACGAGGAGCUUGCUCCUCUGACGUUAGCGGCGGACGGGUGAGUAACACGUGGAUAACCUACCUAUAAGACUGGGAUAACUUCGGGAAACCGGAGCUAAUACCGGAUAAUAUAUUGAACCGCAUGGUUCAAUAGUGAAAGACGGUUUUGCUGUCACUUAUAGAUGGAUCCGCGCCGCAUUAGCUAGUUGGUAAGGUAACGGCUUACCAAGGCAACGAUGCGUAGCCGACCUGAGAGGGUGAUCGGCCACACUGGAACUGAGACACGGUCCAGACUCUUACGGGAGGCAGCAGUAGGGAAUCUUCCGCAAUGGGCGAAAGCCUGACGGAGCAACGCCGCGUGAGUGAUGAAGGUCUUCGGAUCGUAAAACUCUGUUAUUAGGGAAGAACAAAUGUGUAAGUAACUAUGCACGUCUUGACGGUACCUAAUCAGAAAGCCACGGCUAACUACGUG